GUCAUUUUCUCUUAUUGAUAAAUACUAUGAUGAAAUGUCUUUUGAUGACACAAAUGGUUUUCCAAUCUGGUUGAACUCUUUUAUGUCAAGCACAGUAUUUUGCAGUCAUGAUGAUGCUACAAUUUGCAGAACGCACAUAGCUUAGUUGGGUGCAACUGAAAGGAGACAGCAAACAUGCUAAGUGUGUGACAUGUGACAAUGCGAAUUUGAGUCUGUUACUUGGAACAGUAGCCUCCAACCCAGCAGUUCCCCUCCUCACUCUUUCCCCUGGUCUCCCCCAAAUUGAUGUCCUGGUGGUGGAGCACCUCCUUGGUCUGCUCAGCAUGAAGAAAUGGAGUAUUGAUCACCGGAAGUGCCCUUUGUGCUGGCUGGCUGUGAAGACUAUAGGGCAGAUUCCAGAUUCUGAUCUACAGGGUCUGUCUUUUGAAAACAACAACAACAACAACAACAACAACAAAAAACCCAAAAAAACCUACCUCAGCCACCAGCAGCUGGUGACAACUAGCUUGGGAGCUCUGGCUCUCCUAAACCCUACCUGAUUGCCCCAAACACUAAAAAGAUCAAUAAUCCGUGCCUACUUCUAAUCCAUUGAAAGCACCCCAGUGUGUCAGGACCCAUGGACUGGAAAGCUCUGCUUUAUCUAUGAAAUCUUUCACUAGAAUUCCAUGAGGAGAUGGCAGGAAAUUUUGCCAUUUGAGGCCUUCAGAAGAAGGAUGUCUCACUGGCACUCUUGCUGGCUGUCUCUCAACCCCUCUCUCUAAAGUGCUCUCAGUAUUUGUUCUUCAGCCCCUCCAGCAUUCCCACUUCUUUGGGAAACUGUACUCGUGUCCUCAAGAGAAGGUUUUGGUUUCUUCAUCUGAGUAGAGAUGGAUGCUUGCCACUACCCAGGGCAGCCAGGCUUUGAGGCUGAAGCCUAUGGGUGGCGUGACCUGCCUGCUGCUGAGUACAGCAGUACUUCUGUUCCUACCCCCAAUACUUAGAGAGGUUUCUGCGCCAGCAUAUGUCUCAGCCACUAUGGCACCCAGGAUGGGGUUGGACUGCUGGACUCCUAGCAAUGCUGUGUUUUAGCAACAGGGACAACAGCUGAAGAAAACAUUUCCUAGGUGGACUGAGCGGGCUUCCAGCUUUCUUUCCUCAAGUCGACAGAAGCCAGUACUGACCCUUUGAAAUGAGUAUGACCCCUGAGUUUCAUAGGACCCUUGCAAGAGGAGGCACCCUAGAGAGUGAAGAAGCAUAUUCUAAUGAUGGAAACAUCUGAAUUCAUAGCACACGUAGCUCCUGACCCGCAGCCAAAUGUGUCUUUGAACUGGACUUUGGUUUCAACUGCCAAUCGCUUUGUACACAAAUGUUAUUGAUUCCCUCCAGAGGCAGCCAUGUGUGGUGGAAGAAACGGCAUGAGGCUGGAGCUCCCUCUCUCCUGGGCCUCGGUUUACCUGCAUGCAGAAAGAGGACAGCCUUUCGAUUCCAACAGAAAAUCAGAAGGCUCCUUCCACCUUCUGAUUGGAGUGCAGAGCCUUUGUGUGGUUUGUGCGGUGGGCGUGGCUGUUCCAAACCAAAGGGCAGGGACAGGAUGCAGUCUGAUGAUCAGGGACAGAGGAGGAGUGGCUGAGCAGCCCUGCGCAUUGUGGCUUCCUCACUCCUUGGCCCUAGAUUUCCCAGGCUGUUUAAGUUCAUGAUCCUAGGGCACCGCCUGUCCGCCCCCCCACCCCCCACCGUCACACACCCCAUGCCAUUCAAGGUUUCUUUCCCAGGGUCGGCUUUAAAGCCAGCGGAAGAUUUUCAGAGGUCUCGGAUCUUCUUAUUUCUGACCCUCUUGACAUCUGACGCCUGAAAAGAACUUGGGUUGCCUGCCUAGGCAGGCUUCCGGAGGCCACAGGCUUCUGUGUCUUCCGGGGCGGGGGGCAGAAGGGUGCCCGAGCCGGCGCAGGCGGCCAUUGUUUGGGUGUUGACUCAAAGGAGCGGGAGCCACAAUGCACAGGAAAAAGGAUGAGCUCAUGACUGCUAAAUGAAUAGAUUCUUAUCUUGGAAACAGCGGUUUCUUAUGCAAAACAGGGGGCGGCAAUGUGAUUGUGCCCCGCGGAGUACAUUCAACAACAGGGAUUUCAAAUGAAGAAGCUAUUUUGCAUACCUACGGGAGCAGCAAUGGGCCAGAUUGUUCAUUAAUUAAAAAGGGGGGGGGGCGGGCGCCGGAAAAACCCACGCUCGCACUUGCCGCUGAACCGAAAUAAUUCAUUUGCCUUCCUCUCAGUCCCAGUUGAUCAGCUUGGAGACAAAUGUUUUUUCAACUCUAGGCCCCUCCAGAGACGGGAAGGGAGGGGAGAGGAGGAGGGAGGGCGAGAGUAGGGAUGAGGCGGUGAGGUCGUGGCGAGGAAGGGAGGAGUGUCGCAGAUAACGGUGAUUUCUCAACCAGUUGUGUUUGGCGUUCAAAUGUAUUGUGCAGAGGUGGUCGGGUUUUGUUGCCAUUUCUUCCCCACCCAGGAGAUUUACCUUCUGGCUCUGUUCGAUUUCACCUGAAAGAAGUCUGAGCAAAUCCCCGCUGAUGGGGAGGAAAGAAGAGAAGAGCAAGGAAGAGGGUGGGUGUGGGGGAGACUUGGAAUGUGUUCUCUAACUACAGCCCCCCUCCCCCCAUUUCCCCAGCACUGACAUGUGCUCCCCUGGGACUAGAACUGCGGCUGUCCCGGAAAUUCCAGAAUGUGGGUCACCCACUGAAUGGGUAAUGCCACAAGUGGAGAGAGUUGAAUGUGGUUCGGGUGGAAGGCACCAACGCCUCCCACGCAUCUUUCCUACUAGCCAGGUUGCUCUCCUUCUACUACCCUACAUGAUCUUCUGAUUAGGAAUAAGAAUGGUUAUCAUCGUAUCAAGCCCUCUCAGACGCAUUACUUCCUAUGUUAUCUCUCAUCGCUGUGUUAUACAGACACUUUCGCUUGUGUUUGUGUAUGAGAGCUUUGCAGGUAGGCUGGGAAAUAACUGAGUAUUAGUGCUCGGGUCUUAGAAAUGAGGGGACUGAGGCUCCGAGACACUGAGUGGGUUAGCCAAGACUGUGCAACUUGGAUAUUGCAGUUACCAUUUAAACUCACAUUGGUCUGAUGCCAAAACCUGUGCCUUAAAACGAAUGCAGCACUGUAUGUUAACUAUGCUGGAAUUGGAAUUAAAAACUUAAUCACACACACAAACACCCAAACUUGUGCCCUAAACUACUGCGCGAUGCUAACUCUCCUCCCUUCCCCCCUCCCUCCCUCAGCUGUAUUUGCCCAGCUGCUACCAAAGGGCCGAGGUUGGCCUUCUGGCAAGCAGGGCAGUGACGGAGACCCUUCCUGAAUAGGAAGAACACUCCCCCUGAGCACACAUACCCUUCCGCGUGGAAGACAAGCUGAACUCAGCGCCCAUCUUACCAGCUCAGAUGGAAGAAUGAACACGUCACCUCCAAGCACAGCGCGACUGCCCAAGGAGCACACAGGCCUAGCCCCAAGACAUAGGAAUGCUUGCUUAUCAUUCAAAGGAACCUGUAGGACAAGUAGUUAAUCAGCACUGCCCUAGAGAUACAAUCACCAGAUGUACCUAAUGAAAUCUCUAACAUAAAAAUUAAAGAUAUUUUUCAGGUUCCAAAUCGUUCGAAGUGGCACCAGAGCAGCUGCUAGCAGACUUCAUGGGCCUCCAAUCAACUGUGUCCAUCUUCUCAGAAGACCCCUGCCCAAAUUUUGCCCUUAAAAACCCUCAUUUGCAAGCCACUGGGGAGCUCAGGACUUUUAAGCAUUAGCUCUGUGUUCUCCUGGGUGAUGCCACAGCAAUGAAUCGCCUUUCUUUAUCACAAAAUCUCCGUGGUUGUUUUUAUUGGUUUGCUGUGUGUUGAGUGGAUAAACUUUCAUUUGGUUUAGUUAGAAGGUAAGGAAGCGAGCCUGGUAAAUCCAUUCCCUACCACAGGCUCACCAGUAUGAUCCCUGUAUUUUAAAGUCAGGUUUAUUGAAGGGUAAAUUUCAUACUGUAAUAGUCUCUUUUUUCAAGUAAACAUAUAAAUGAAUUUCAAACAAAUGUAUAUUGUUGUGUCACCACAAACACAGUCAAGAAUAUUUUCAUUACCCCCAAAGUUCUUUUGUGCCCUUCUGCAGUCAGCCCUUUCCCCCUAUAUCCAACUUCUGGCAACCACUGAUCUAUCUUCUACUCCCACAGUUUUUUUUUUUUAAAAU
Long non-coding RNA from Mustela erminea (ermine), 4184 nucleotides. RefSeq lists it as uncharacterized. The record is from RefSeq and is a predicted model, not a curated record. The transcript is spliced from 3 exons. Lineage: Eukaryota; Metazoa; Chordata; Mammalia; Carnivora; Mustelidae.